UAAGUUACUGUAAUAGUAAAAAAAAAAAAAAAAAUUCUCAAUCAUCUUAUUCAAGUUUUCAGUAAAUAGUUUUUGCUAUAUAUUUACAGCAAGGUCAAUUUUUUCUCCCUGAAUUUUCUUGCAUAUAAUUCAUUUGAAUGGAGUGGCUUCUAUGUCAUCUUUAAUCUUAUAAAUACAUCUUAUGUCCAAAUUAUAAGUCCUAGAAAGGAGUGACCUAUAAUGAAUUCUUAACCACAACUAUAUUGCUGAACAAAUACUAUUCUAUAAUGUGCAAACUGUUAAAUGUUUUCUUAUCAUACUAAAAGUGUGAAUUAAAUUAUAAUAUGAUGAAAAAGUAGCAGUUUGCAGUAAUUCCAAAUGUGGCAAAUCUUCAGUAGUGCAUAAAAUUAUUCAGUGAACUGUGGAAAACAUCAGAGCAAUUCUAGCCUUAAAGCUUUUCUUCCAACAACCAAAAAGUGCCAAAAACAAGCAAGCAUAGCUAAGCAUUUCAUCUUGGAAGCAGCUUAUUGAAUUAAUAAGACAAGUCAAUUAAUGUAAUGCUCUGUUGCUUCAGGAUAAAACAUGAAAAGGAAAAAUAUGGAGCUGUUUACUGUAGUGAGAUCAAGCAACCAUGAAGCCUGUAAAGCUAAAGUUGCUCAUUUCUCUAAAUCCUAAAGAAGUGAUCAGCAUAACCAUUGUAUAUGCUCUCUUUAUUCGUAAAUCAUCUGUGAGAUGUAGAUCUUCAGCUGUCCAGACACUAGUUUUGAUACCAAUUUGUUCCUCUUGUGAGUAUGUUUUUACCUCUAUAUUACACAAACGUGAAACUGAAUAGUCAGUGUCAUUCCCAUCAGUGCUGGAUGUUGGAUCAUGUUGAGUGGCUCACCUGUGUCUUUGGCAUCUUGCUGCUAACAGGUGAGAAGCGUUACCGCUGAGGCAAGGAGGGUAUUUUAGGUGGGUUUUACACUCAGUUCAGCCUGUGUGUUGUAGAGCAGUGCAAAAAAUCAAGAGCUGCAGGUGAAAACCUUCUGAAUUUCAGCAGAGCAGCCAGCUUUUCAAUCGUGGUGAGGUUCCGAUAAAUUGAAAGUUAAGGGAUGGCAAAUGUGGAACAAAAUUCUUAUUGGGAGAGCAUUCCAAGCUGGAAACUGUGGGGUACACAGACACAAGGUCUACAGAGGAAAAAUGGUGGGCCUCUGACUCUCAUUUCUAACAGUAUCAAGGACAGCCAUCUGACAAAGAAAGCAGAUGAGAAAUAACUGGAAGCAGAUUUUCCAAAUGUUCAACAGGUGAAUGCUGUUUAAAAUUACUGAUGUCUUUUCCACUCCCUAGUUACUCUGUGUAGUAUUUUCUCCUGCAGUAGUGAUGCUCACGUUCUUCAGAUGAAUGAAUACAAGUUCACUGUGUCUCCUGUUGGCUGCUUCAGGCACUUUCUGAUGUCAGGGAAUGUGUGCUUUCUCUGCUCCACAUCAACACUUACAUGAAAGUUAUUCUGUCAGCUGAGCAUUUCUGAAGAAUGGUGACCCUCCAAAAGCAGGACUUCUGGCGAUGCUUGGGUACUUACAACCCAAAUGUGUUGAGCAAAACCAGUUUCUUGCAUUUUCUCAUCGUUAGUCUGAUCAGAGUAGCUUCCGUUCAGGAGCAACAUGGAGAAACCAGGAUGGGACUGUGUCACUGUCCCUGUGGUAGCAGAUGUUGGACCAGGACUAACAGUGGUCUUCCAUGCAUCAGUAGUUUGCAAAUCUCAUUUGAAGAGAGGUGAGCAAGCUUUAUCCAGUUGACACUUGCAUGCUAUUGUCCACGCUUGGCUGCAGGCAUCCUGAUUCUGCUCCCUGUGUCCCAAUCUGAAAGCUGGGGUCUGCUGUCAGUGCAGUCACACUGAUGUGACCCUUAGAUGAACCAUCUGUGGUGCUGUUCUCAAUUCUUCUGCUGGCUCUACAAAUUGGUGUAACUUGGGCAGGUCUCAAGUCUUCUGAGGCUUGGUUCCCUAGCUGCUGAGCAGAGGAUUCAGUUGCUUUUCCUCAGUGGCAGAGUUUUAUAUAGUAUAAAUACCUGCAGUUAAGUGUUUUGACUGUGUAUUUCAGGCAAGAAACCAUAAAUAUGUGUCAGGACUAUCAUCUGAAUUCAAACUGGUGAACUAGAAAAAGUGUUGACAGCCUUAAACCAACUGCCCCGUUCUCCCUUUCUGUCUACC
Lagopus muta (rock ptarmigan) is the source of this 2167-nucleotide long non-coding RNA. RefSeq lists it as uncharacterized. Lineage: Eukaryota; Metazoa; Chordata; Aves; Galliformes; Phasianidae. The record is from RefSeq and is a predicted model, not a curated record. The transcript is spliced from 4 exons.